Molecule: transfer RNA, 70 nt
Filed under: Haliotis semiplicata
Lineage: Eukaryota; Metazoa; Mollusca; Gastropoda; Lepetellida; Haliotidae
Description: tRNA-Arg
Source: RNAcentral
UAGAAAGAAGCGAUUACGCAAUCGGUUUCGGCCCGAAGACUGGGAGCCCUACGCUCCCCUUUCUAGCUAG